RNAcentral lists this ribosomal RNA (880 nucleotides) under uncultured bacterium. Its description in RNAcentral is "bacterial SSU rRNA". It matches the Rfam family "Bacterial small subunit ribosomal RNA", at positions 21 to 906 of the family's 1533-position model. The record is from RNAcentral.
GGCUCAGGACGAACGCUGGCGGCGUGCUUAACACAUGCAAGUCAAGGGGGUCCGUAGCAAUACGGGCAACCGGCGAACGGGUGCGUAACACGUGAGCAACCUGCCGCGCUCUGGGGGAUAGCCGGCCCAACGGCCGGGUAAUACCGCAUACGUUCUUUGGGGGGAGUCUCCUGAAGAAGAAACCUCCGGGGGAGCGCGAGGGGCUCGCGGCCUAUCAGCUAGUUGGCGGGGUAACGGCCCACCAAGGCAGUGACGGGUAGCUGGUCUGAGAGGAUGGCCAGCCACAUUGGGACUGAGAAACGGCCCAGACUCCUACGGGAGGCAGCAGUGGGGAAUCUUGCGCAAUGGUCGAAAGACUGACGCAGCGACGCCGCGUGUGGGAGGACGCCCUUCGGGGUGUAAACCACUGUUGCCCGGGACGAAACUCCUCUUUCGAGAGGACUGACGGUACCGGGUGAGGAAGCACCGGCUAACUCCGUGCCAGCAGCCGCGGUAAUACGGAGGGUGCGAGCGUUGUCCGGAAUCACUGGGCGUAAAGGGCGCGUAGGCGGCGCGGAAAGUCGUCGGUGAAAGCUCAGGGCUCAACUCUGAGUCUGCCGGUGAUACUCCCGCGCUCGAGCUCACUAGAGGCAGAUGGAAUUCCGGGUGUAGCGGUGGAAUGCGUAGAGAUCCGGAAGAACACCGGUGGCGAAGGCGGUCUGCUGGGGUGAGGCUGACGCUGAUGCGCGACAGCGUGGGGAGCAAACAGGAUUAGAUACCCUGGUAGUCCACGCCGUAAACGAUGGGCACUAGGUGCUUGGGGGAGCGACCCCUUGAGUGCCGGCGCUAACGCAUUAAGUGCCCCGCCUGGGGAGUACGGCCGCAAGGCUGAAACUCAAAG